Molecule: ribosomal RNA, 426 nt
Filed under: uncultured bacterium
Lineage: Bacteria
Description: partial 16S ribosomal RNA
Rfam family: Bacterial small subunit ribosomal RNA
Source: RNAcentral
GUGGGGAAUAUUGGGCAAUGGGCGAAAGCCUGACCCAGCAACACCGCGUGCUGGAUGAAGGCCUUCGGGUCGUAAACAGCUUUUGUAUACGAAGAAUAUGACGGUAAUAUACGAAUAAGGGUCGGCUAACUACGUGCCAGCAGCCGCGGUCAUACGUAGGACCCAAGCGUUAUCCGGAGUGACUGGGCGUAAAGAGUUGCGUAGGCGGCUUAUUAAGCGAGUAGUGAAAUCUGGUGGCUCAACCAUCAACACAUUGCUCGAACUGAUAGGCUUGAGAAUGGUAGAGGUAGUUGGAAUUUCUUGUGUAGGAGUGAAAUCCGUAGAUAUAAGAAGGAACACCAAUGGCGUAGGCAGACUACUGGACCAUUUCUGACGCUGAGGCACGAAAGCGUGGGGAGCGAACCGGAUUAGAUACCCCAGUAGUCC